Molecule: long non-coding RNA, 218 nt
Filed under: Carica papaya (papaya)
Lineage: Eukaryota; Viridiplantae; Streptophyta; Magnoliopsida; Brassicales; Caricaceae
Description: long non-coding RNA (CPAP_LNC001814)
Source: RNAcentral
AAGGGCUCAACUUUCUUCUUUUCCCAAACUGCAUCUUGCCUUUAUAGGGGUAGACUUUUAGGAAAACUUGAUCUCCCACGGUAAACUCUAGGGGUCACUUACGAUUAUUGGCGUAAUUCUUUUGGUGGCUUUGGGAAGUUGCCAAAAUUUUACGGAUGAUUGCAAUCUUCUCAAUGGUCUCCUGAAUGAAGUUUGGUCCUAAGUAGCUGGUUCUCAAC